UACAGGGGGUGCAAACGUUGCUCGGAAUCAUUGGGCGUAAAGCGCACGUAGGCGGUUCGUUAUGUCGGAUGUGAAAGCCCUUGGCUUAACCGAGGAAGUGCAUCCGAAACUGGCGAGCUAGAGUACGAAAAGAGGAUCGCGGAAUUCCCGGUGUAGAGGUGAAAUUCGUAGAUAUCGGGAGGAACACCGGUGGCGAAGGCGGCGAUCUGGGUCGAUACUGACGCUGAGGUGCGAAAGCGUGGGGAGCAAACAGG
Molecule: ribosomal RNA, 254 nt
Filed under: uncultured bacterium
Lineage: Bacteria
Description: partial 16S ribosomal RNA
Rfam family: Bacterial small subunit ribosomal RNA
Source: RNAcentral